GUACUCGCUUUGGCAGCACAUAUAAUAAAAUAGGAAUGAUACAGAGAAGAUCAGCAUGGCCCCUGCACAAGGAUGACAUGCAAAUUCAUGAAGCGUUCCAUAUUUUU
This is a small nuclear RNA of Nomascus leucogenys (northern white-cheeked gibbon), 107 nucleotides long. The record is from Ensembl. NCBI's taxonomy places the organism in Eukaryota, Metazoa, Chordata, Mammalia, Primates, Hylobatidae.